RNAcentral lists this ribosomal RNA (468 nucleotides) under uncultured bacterium. RNAcentral's name for it is "partial 16S ribosomal RNA". It matches the Rfam family "Bacterial small subunit ribosomal RNA", at positions 28 to 507 of the family's 1533-position model. The record is from RNAcentral.
GACGAACGCUGGCGGCGUGCUUAACACAUGCAAGUCGAACGGAAAGGCCCUGCUUUUGUGGGGUGCUCGAGUGGCGAACGGGUGAGUAACACGUGAGUAACCUGCCCUUGACCUUGGGAUAACUUCAGGAAACUGGGGCUAAUACCGGAUAGGAGCUCCUGCUGCAUGGUGGGGGUUGGAAAGUUUCGGCGGUUGGGGAUGGACUCGCGGCUUAUCAGCUUGUUGGUGGGGUAGUGGCUUACCAAGGCUUUGACGGGUAGCCGGCCUGAGAGGGUGACCGGCCACAUUGGGACUGGAAUACGACCCAGACUCGUACCGGAGGCAGCAGUGCAGAAUAGUACACUAUGGGCGGAAGCCUGAUGCAGCAACGCCGCGUGCGGGAUGACGGCCUUCGGGUUGUAAACCGCUUUCGCCUGUGACGAAGCGUGAGUGACGGUAAUGGGUAAAGAAGCACCGGCUAACUACGUG